RNAcentral lists this transfer RNA (71 nucleotides) under Stegodyphus mimosarum. It matches the Rfam family "tRNA". From Rfam's summary of the family: Transfer RNA (tRNA) molecules are approximately 80 nucleotides in length. Their secondary structure includes four short double-helical elements and three loops (D, anti-codon, and T loops). The record is from Rfam by way of RNAcentral. Lineage: Eukaryota; Metazoa; Arthropoda; Arachnida; Araneae; Eresidae.
GCCUUCGUGGCGUAACGGUAGCACCCUCGGCUCGUAUUCGAGAGGUUGAGGCUCGAGUCCUGGCGAGGGUA